GGGGGGGGGGGGGGGUGGGGGGGAGGGGGGGGGGGCGGGGGGGGGGACGGGAAGAGCUUGCUCUUACGGGUGGCGAGUGGCGGACGGGGGAGGAAUACAUCGGACUCUACUUUUUCGUGGGGGCUACCGUCGGGAAACUUACGCUACUACCGCAUACGCCCUACGGGUGCAAGCAGGGGCUCUUCGUCCCUUGGCCUAUUUACUGACCCCAUGUCGGAUUACCUAGGUGGCGGGGUAAAGGCCCACCAAGGCGACGAUCCGUACCUGGUCUGACAUGAGGAUCAGCCAGACUGGAACUGGGACACGGUCCAGACUCCGACGGGAGGCAGCAGUGGGGAAUAUUGGACAAUGGGCGCAAGCCUGAUCCAGCCAUACCGCGUGGGUGAAGAAGGCCUUCGGGUUGUAAAGCCCUUUUGUUGGGAAAGAAAAGCAGCAGGUUAAUACCCCGCUGUUCUGACGGUACCAAAAGAAUAAGCACCGGCUAACUUCGUG
RNAcentral lists this ribosomal RNA (492 nucleotides) under uncultured bacterium. RNAcentral's name for it is "partial 16S ribosomal RNA". It matches the Rfam family "Bacterial small subunit ribosomal RNA", at positions 38 to 507 of the family's 1533-position model. The record is from RNAcentral.